This 217-nucleotide ribosomal RNA is filed under the name uncultured bacterium. Its description in RNAcentral is "partial 16S ribosomal RNA". It matches the Rfam family "Bacterial small subunit ribosomal RNA", at positions 28 to 232 of the family's 1533-position model. The record is from RNAcentral.
GACGAACGCUGGCGGCGUGCUUAACACAUGCAAGUCGAGGGCACUAUGGGGGCAACCUCGUGGUGACCGGCGAACGGGUGCGUAACACGUGAGCGACCUUGCCUCGUGGGUGGGGAUAGCCGGCCCAACGGCCGGGUAAUACCGCAUAUGGUGCUUCUCUCGCAUGGGAGAGGUAGCAAAGCCUUGCAGCAAUGCAAUGGCGCCACGAGGGGGCGUC